AUUUAUAUAGUUUAAAAAAACAUUAUAUUUUCAAUAUAAAAAUAAAAAUUUAUUUUUUAUAAAUA
RNAcentral lists this transfer RNA (65 nucleotides) under Loricera pilicornis. RNAcentral describes it as "tRNA-Glu". Lineage: Eukaryota; Metazoa; Arthropoda; Insecta; Coleoptera; Carabidae. The record is from RNAcentral.